UUGCGCGAGAGCAAUUACAAUCCAGCGUGAACAGUACGGGGGUACUGUUCAUCUAUUUAUAGGCAACCGUAGAGGCUUGUACGCUAUUACAUUUAUGCCCUCAACAAUUACAUACAAAGUUUACAAAAUGUCACAAGGGUAACAUCGCCAUUUGUAUUUAAUAGCUUGAGCAACACCUUCUCCUUGCAUUGCCUCAUUGCUUCGUCAUGACGAUGCCUGCUUGAUGAAGUGUGCUUCGUUGUACAUCCUUUUCGUUAUGCCAAAGCCCCAUUGUCCACUCGUUUCAUUGUGAUGAAGCAUGCCAGAUGAAGCUUUACUCCGCUCCUCUUAUGUUGUACCAAAGCUUUCCUGGUGAUGAAGCUCCUCUAAUAUUCAGUAGUAUGCUAAAAGCAGAUGGUUAGCCAUGUUUUUGAGGACCUUUGGAAGAAAAAGGCCCCCAACAUUAUCCAAGGGUGCGAGGAUGGAACCGGGCACCGUUGUCUUCUUUGGGGGCAUGUUGAAGGUGGUUGUGGUCAUAAAUGAGUACACCAGAGGUGGGAGCCAAUGUUGGUCACUCAUUUUUAAUUGUUGUAUACAAUCAAAAACAAGACAACACAAUAUUUAAAAAGAUGUUAUCCUUCGUACUUUAAAGAGUUCGUCCUUCGGGACAUCCAAACCAAGUACGAACGUUAUUAUAUAUAAUCUAUAGGAUUGUCAGAGGAUGAAGAUAAAGAUUACACACAAGGCUAUAACGAAGCUAGAUAAGAUUGCUUAUCGCGAACAACUUGGGAUUUCUUUCUUUAUGUGAAACAAAUUUUACAAUAGUACCUUUGGCUUUUUGACGAGGAGAAAACUCGAAGGUACUUGGAAGAAAAUGGAUUACACAUAGUUGUUCCCCCCGGCACCUAAGAGGUUCCUCAUGUAGGGCACUGUUCAUCUAUUUAUAGUGUGGUGGUACAACUUCGUGUAUGGUUACAAACAUUUCCAUAAAACUUGUACAUGCAGUUUACAAAUUAUGUGGGGGCAGUAUCAUCUUCUGCCUUUUCUGCUUUGGUUACAGAGUCUUGAAAACACCUUCUCUCGGCCUUAUUCCACUUCUGCCUUUGUUUCCUUGUGUUGUUAUGACGAAGCUAACAUCUUUGUCUUCCUCCCUGUCUUGCUCUGAAUGUAUUUAGUACCAAAGCUCCUAGGAUGUGCUAACAACAAUGGUUAAAUGUGUUUUUGAGGACCUUUGAAAGACGAAGGCCCCAACAAGUUGGGGAGGAAGGAGGGGCAUAGGCCUGAGGACCUUAGCCGCUCAGAGUGGGACUCACAGGGACGCACGGUCUAGCUAGUUGUCAUGCCUGUGCGCACACAACAGCAAGAACAGGGACGGCGACGUCGUGUGGAUAGAGCGGCGAGGCAGGCUGCGUGCGGGCUGCAGCAGAGCCCAAGGGCCUGGUCGUCGUGGUCGCUCGGUGUCGAGGCUGAGGAGGCACCCGACAGUGGGUGCGGCCAUGGUGGGUGCCGAGCGCACAGGAGCUGGGCGCGCGGAGGUGAGGUGCGGCUAUGGUGGAGCAUGCUGAUUCCUUCGCCAAAAUGUCGCAGAGCUUUCACAAUGAAACAAAGGGAGAAGAACAGCAAGGGAGAUGGAUCCCUCACCCUGCAGCAGGUCCAUACACCGGUGGCUUGGACGAGAAUGACAAUGAGCACGAUGAAGGGCGAGGCGAGAUGGUUGUACAGCGACCGCAGACUCUGCUAUACAGUGAUGAGCGCGACAUAGCCUCCUCCUCUCAGCGAUGUCGGUCCCUUCUUCACGAUGACGAACGACGCGACGUCGAGUCCGACGUGCGUAAAGAUGUCAAUGGAGAAUUACCCACCGGGGAUUAACUCCCCAGACCCGUACCCAUGAACGUCGACCCGCCCCCAUCCCCGAACCCAAACCCGACCUCAGGUACGAAAAUCUUCCCAUACCCAUCCCCGACCGGGUACUAAAUACCCAUGGGGACCCAUACCCGACCCGACUAUUCAACAUUUCAGAAUUUCAGCAUAUAGAUUAUGGACACAAUUCGACAUUCAUUCCAACAUGCAUAUUUUAUAGUAUCAUCAACAUACUCACUUUCCUUGCUCGUCAGCGGUGUUCAUCGGCGUCGGCGUCGAUGAAGACGCCAUCCACGCAUCCAGUGAGCGGUCAGACCGUCCGGGUGUCUGGGCGAGCGGCGGUUGACGGGCUCUGCAGGGGCGUCCAGCGAGCGGCGGUCUGACCGUCUAGGCGUCCAAGCAAAUCUGGAGAAGGAGACGGCGAGCGGCGGUCCGGCUAUCCGGUCAUCUAGCGAGCGGCCG
RNAcentral lists this long non-coding RNA (2301 nucleotides) under Zea mays. Its description in RNAcentral is "long non-coding RNA (ZMAY_LNC003248)". The record is from RNAcentral. Lineage: Eukaryota; Viridiplantae; Streptophyta; Magnoliopsida; Poales; Poaceae.